Molecule: non-coding RNA, 609 nt
Filed under: unclassified sequences
Description: ROOL RNA
Rfam family: ROOL RNA
About the family: Firmicutes, Fusobacteria (1 example), Tenericutes (1 example). Environment (Cow rumen (57))
Source: Rfam by way of RNAcentral
ACGUUUUACUAUGAUUACAAUAAACUCAGUUAAGAUCGGCUAACCACCGUGCUGAGAAUAUGCGUAUAUCGACAGAUGGUUAUAUGGGAUUGCUUUAUAACUGUUUGUUCCAAAAUACCGUGAGAUAUAUUAGGAUAGUGGGAAAAUCCCUAAAGAUAAGCAUAUGUACUGAGGGUAAACGUAGUCAAAUGCUAUCCACUUAUCGUUGACACAAUAGAGAGCUGCACUUGCAGUGCUUAACCCUGAUGCCUGUGACUUGGUAACUCAUAGGAGUUAGGUAGGGGAAUACCAAAAUAAGUCAAUUUGCCGUGAUGGUUUGGAAACAGACCUAUAAGAUAAGUCAGAUGAUGGAGUAGCCAAAGGCAGUAGAAGAAUAAUUUUUUAAUUUAGAUAGUAAAUUCAGGUAAGUUUACAUAUCAAAUUACAACUUCUGAAUGGUUGGUGAAACUUGUGGCGUGACCAAUCCCACCGAUGCGGAGACAGGUGUAUUCCUGUUGGUUAAAAAGUGUAUGAAUGACGGUUUAUAUGCUCAGAUUUAGCUAUAUCGUGGCAGAAUAUGAUUGCGUUUAUCGAGGCAGCCCGAAGGGGUUAUUGUAAUCAUAAUAAAGC